AUUACUAAGCGGAGGAAAAGAAACUAAAUAGGAUUCCCCUAGUAACGGCGAGUGAAGCGGGAAAAGCCCAGCACCGAAUCCCCUGCCUUCGGUAGUGGGAACUGUGGUGUUUGGGACGUCGGCUGUGUGGUCUCCUUCCGUCCGAGUCCUCCUGAUCGGGGCUUCACCCAUAGCGGGUGUCAGGCCUCUACGGCGGACUGGGGGCCGCGCUCUAGGCGUCCUAGGAGUCGGGUUGUUUGGGAUUGCAGCCCAAAGUGGGUGGUAUACUCCAUCUAAGGCUAAAUACUGACACGAGUCCGAUAG
Molecule: ribosomal RNA, 303 nt
Filed under: Lanice conchilega
Lineage: Eukaryota; Metazoa; Annelida; Polychaeta; Terebellida; Terebellidae
Description: eukaryotic LSU rRNA
Rfam family: Eukaryotic large subunit ribosomal RNA
Source: RNAcentral